GGUGUUGUGGCAGAGUGGUCUAAUGCGAUAGACUAGAAAUCUAUUCUCUUCGGAGGCGUCUGUUCGAAUCAGGCCAACAUCG
This 82-nucleotide transfer RNA is filed under the name Fusarium acuminatum. Its description in RNAcentral is "tRNA-Ser". It matches the Rfam family "tRNA". Rfam says of the family: Transfer RNA (tRNA) molecules are approximately 80 nucleotides in length. The record is from RNAcentral. Lineage: Eukaryota; Fungi; Ascomycota; Sordariomycetes; Hypocreales; Nectriaceae. RNAcentral also lists the same sequence under 4 other names.